CCUACGGGUGGCAGCAGUGGGGAAUCUUGCACAAUGGGGGAAACCCUGAUGCAGCGACGCCGCGUGAGUGAAGAAGUAUUUUGGUAUGUAAAGCUCUAUCAGCAGGGAAGAAAAUGACGGUACCUGACUAAGAAGCCCCGGCUAACUACGUCCCAGCAGCCGCGGGAAUGCGAAUGGGGCAAGCGUUAUCCGGAUUUACUGGGAGUAAAGGGUGCGUAGGCUGUGAGGUAAGUCAGCGGGGGAAUGCCCCCGCUCAAGGGGGUGAAGUGCCAAUGAUACUGCCUUACUAGAAUGCGGAUGCCGUAGGAGGAAUGUGUGGUGUAGCAGUGAAAUGCGUAGAUAUCACGCAGAACACCGAUUGCGAAGGCAUCUCACGAGUCCGCGAUUGACGCUGAUGCACGAAGGCGAGGGUAUCAAACAGGAUUAGAUACCCCUGUAGUC
This 441-nucleotide ribosomal RNA is filed under the name uncultured bacterium. RNAcentral's name for it is "partial 16S ribosomal RNA". It matches the Rfam family "Bacterial small subunit ribosomal RNA", at positions 338 to 795 of the family's 1533-position model. The record is from RNAcentral.